Long non-coding RNA from Cimex lectularius (bed bug), 465 nucleotides. RefSeq lists it as uncharacterized. NCBI's taxonomy places the organism in Eukaryota, Metazoa, Arthropoda, Insecta, Hemiptera, Cimicidae. The record is from RefSeq and is a predicted model, not a curated record. The transcript has 3 exons.
CGUAUUUUGUGAUCUUGAUUAAAAAAGUGAUGUUUUAUAUUUAAGAAUUAGGCAAUCAUGUGAUCUCAACCCGGGAACCAGCCUUACAAAGUUUGAAACUCGCAAAAUUUAAAGAAAAAAAAAUCAAAGUACUGUACUGAAAUGAACACAAAUGCCCCUAGUUUUUUUCUUAUAAAAAAUCAAUAUUUUUUGACAUCGCUUUGACAAAAUAUAAACCCGAAACCAUUUGUCAACUACAGAACUAGUCAAUAAUGUGGUCUCAACCCGGGAACCAGCCUUACAAUUUUUUUCCAAUAAACAAGCGAUAUUUUUUGACAUUUCCUAGCGGUGCCUCUGAGAGAAAGAAGGAAGUUAAGCUGGAUUAAUUGGGAAAAAACUUUAGGAAGUUGGGACUUAUAAGAUGAAGAUUCUUGAGAUGGGCAUUAUCCAAAUGUAACGUGUUUUGGAGAAAAAGUAAAGCAUAUU